GACGAACGCUGGCGGCGUGCCUAAUACAUGCAAGUUGAGCGCUGAAGGUUGGUACUUGUACCAACUGGAUGAGCAGCGAACGGGUGAGUAACGCGUGGGGAAUCUGCCUUUGAGCAGGGGACAACAUUUGGAAACGAAUGCUAAUACCGCAUAAAAACUUUAAACACAAGUUUUAAGUUUGAAAGAUGCAAUUGCAUCACUCAAAGAUGAUCCCGCGUUGUAUUAGCUAGUUGGUGAGGUAAAGGCUCACCAAGGCGAUGAUACAUAGCCGACCUGAGAGGGUGACCGGCCACAUUGGGACUGAGACACGGCCCAAACUCCUACGGGAGGCAGCAGUAGGGAAUCUUCGGCAAUGGACGAAAGUCUGACCGAGCAACGCCGCGUGAGUGAAGAAGGUUUUCGGAUCGUAAAACUCUGUUGGUAGAGAAGAACGUUGGUGAGAGUGGAAAGCUCACCAAGUGACGGUAACUACCCAGAAAGGGACGGCUAACUACGUG
Molecule: ribosomal RNA, 497 nt
Filed under: uncultured bacterium
Lineage: Bacteria
Description: partial 16S ribosomal RNA
Rfam family: Bacterial small subunit ribosomal RNA
Source: RNAcentral